GCUCACACUUACAACAAAGGGCUGGGCGCAACAAACUCAAGCGCCUUAGGUCUUCCCCCAAAGCAGGGCAGCACGGGAUACCCCACCCAGCCCCAGUCACAGGAGCCCAGAGGCCUCCGCCCUGCUGACAAAAGAGCUGCGAGGGCGCGGUCGCGCGCAACCGGCGUGGCGCAGACACAACAAGGCAGUAAAACCCGCCCCAGCGCAGAGCCACGUGACAGCCCGCCGCGCCCCGCCCCCUCCCCGGAGCCGGCGGCCGGCCUGAGGGGAGGAGGCGGAGGAGGGAGGAGGAGGAGGAGGAAGAAUUCGUCGGAACUUGAGCGCCGGCGGCGGAGGAGGAGAAAGGAAAGAGAAAGGCGGAGCGCGGAGAGGCGGAGACGGAGCCCGGCAGGGGCGGCACCACGGCUCCAGCCCCGCACGGUCCGGUGUGAGGCGAGCGACGCGAGGAGACGCCGCCGUCGCCGCCACAGCCUCCGCUUCGCUGCCGUCCUUCGGGCCACGCUUGCUCCCUGCCGCCAGCAAGCUGCGGUGCCGCGGCCCCGCGUGCCGCAGCCGCAGGUAACCAGACCAGCCUUCCCCUGUGCAGAGCGGGUCUGGAGCUGGGCUGAGCCGCGGUCUCCAUCCUGCCCGCGGCUGUGCGGGCGGCGGGGCCCCCAGCACGUCCUCCCCGACUUGCGCCCGUCUCCGGGACCACAGAGCUACCGCACCCGGGCCUGUCGGCCUGCCAGCCCUGGUGACUCAUGCCGCCAGGGGUUCUGGUGGAGACCGCGAUUUGGGGACUGGGUGAGGGAGCCGACGGGUGUCACCCUCUUCCCUUCUCAAGAUGGCGCCGCGGAAAGAGUACCGGAGGCCGUGGUUCCGCCCGGCCUCUCCAGACAGCCCGGGGGUCCCAGGGAGAGCCGUGCAGGUUUAAGGGAGGAGGGUGGCGGGACGGCCCAGAGCCCUGGCGGGUACUGUUUGUUCGGGCGAUCCGGAGUCGGCUCUCAGCUGCUCAGGUGUUGCAAGCAGGGACCGGGGCCUAGGGCAGGUGUGGAUCUGGGGAGCUCCGCCUACCUUCGAAAGAUGGGUAAUGGAAGGGCUGGGAGGCUCAGCCAGACAACCGCUCUGGAGACUGGCAGGUGGCGAGCCGCAGCUUUAAGGAAAUUAAAGGUAACUGGGCCGCCGUACAGCUCCCUUGGUGGGUAAACCAGGAGACCUGCCCUGAUGCUGUCUUCCCUGGGAACUGGUCAGCCCCUCGAGACUUUCAGACUUUUUAAGCUCCUAGCAUCCUAGUUUACGUAUUUGAUUUUUUUUGGCCUGGCUUAAGUGGAAUCAAACUGUUACACUACUCCGGGAAUAUUCUGGACUCCUCAGAAACUUUGUUCUUUUCACUGUCGAAUGCAGAUAGUUUGAACACUUAGGGUUGUUGUAAGCAAAGUACUUGGUAACCAUGCCAGGCACAGAAUGAGUACCCAGUGAUUUUUUGAUCAAAGAGGACCUAAAAAGAGCAAAAGAGCACUACAGAACACUAGUUAUUUCCAAGUUUAAAAAUGCAUACAAUGCAAAGUCCUUGUUUGGCAAAACUGGGAGAAUUCUCAGUAAGUGUGAAUACGAGUAAAUGCACGCAGUUUUUACCUUGUUAAUAUUACGCUGUUUUUGAUUUAUUUCCUGUUAGAGAUCCUUGUAGCAUAAGGAUUCAGUGGCUUCAAAACUUAGAAGGCAAACGUAAAUCACAAUUUUGCUUGACUUUUUUAUGGGUGUCUGGUGUUUUCCCUAAAUUUUCAGAAGUACUGUAGAAAUUCAGAACAUGGUAUCCUUGAUAAAUGAUCAGCAGUUUUGUAGAUAAGAGGCUGUUGGGAAGUGUUUCAACUAUGUUUAUUCCUGAAAGCGAAUUGGUGCGUUUUCUGCCUAUACGACAUUCUAUUGGUGUUUGACAUGUAACCAAAGGGCCACUUUAGUUGUCCAUUCAAACCCUGCUGUAUGAUAGGUACUGUAUUAGAGAUUAUAUAUAUUGUAUCACGUGAUUAACUGGCAACUAUGCAAAUUAUGUAGUUUGAAAAUUAAAAAAUUGGCCCAGACAGAAAUUGGUACUACCAGGAUUAAACUCCCAAGUUUACUGUGUUUGGGACAGUAUGGGGAAGUAGUUUUAUUUGUACCUUAUGGUGUGUGUUCGUUUGUUUUUAAGAUUUAUUUAUUUGAAAGAGUUACACAGAGAGAGGAGAGGAGAGAUCGAGAGAGGUCUUCCAUCCGCUCGUCCACUCCCCAGAUGGCUGCAACAGCCUAAGCUGCGCUGACUCAAAGCCAGGAGCCGGGAGCUUCUUCCUGGUCUCCCAUGAGGGUUCAGGGGCCCAAGGACUUGGGCCAUCUUCUGCUGGUUUCCCAGUUCAUAGCAGAGAGCAGAAUCAGAAGUGGAGCAGCCUGGACUCGAACCAGCACCUGUAUGAGAUGCCAGCACUGCAGGCGGCAGCUUUAUCCUCUAUGUCACAGUGCCAGCCCCUGUACCUUAUGUUUGGAAGCAGCUUAAACAUCAUUUCAUCUGUAAAUAUAUCAGCAUGUACUGUUAAAGACGCUUCAAAGCUGGAGUUUUAGAUAAAGCCAAGAAGUGAACUUAAUUGUCUAGAAUUAAGAUAUCAAUAUAUUAGUGAAUUGUCAAUAAUAUGUCUCAUAAAAACUAAAAUUUUAUAGGGAAGGCGAAUUUCUUAUAUGAGGUAACUCAGUGAAGUAUAGCUACAUUUUUAGAGAGGAAAUCAUAUUUAGUAUAUUAGUAAGCAUAUAAUCAUAUUUUUAUUAAAGAUGUGAAUAGGUUGAAAAGUGCUCUUCAAAUAUUUGCUAAUUCCUUUGAAAUUGAAAAUUAGCACAUUUGGGAGCCUUGGUUGUGGUUGUGAUGUAGCAGGUAAGCUGCCACCUUCAGUGCCAGCAUCCCAUAUGGGUGCCUGUUCAAUUCCUGGUUGCUGCACUUCCCAUCCAGCUCCCUGCUGGGAAAGCUGGGAGGAUGGCUCAAGUGCUUGGGCCCCUGUACCCACGUGGGAGACCUGGAAGAAGCUUUUCUGGCUCCUGGCUUCAGUUGUGGCCAUUUGGGGGAGUGAACCAGCAGAUGGAAGACCUGUCUCUGUCUCUCCCUCUCUCUAACUGAGCCUUUCAAAUAAAUCUUAAAAAAAGAAAGAAAAAAAAUGAGCA
Long non-coding RNA from Oryctolagus cuniculus (rabbit), 3156 nucleotides. The record is from Ensembl. Lineage: Eukaryota; Metazoa; Chordata; Mammalia; Lagomorpha; Leporidae.